This 630-nucleotide long non-coding RNA is filed under the name Scophthalmus maximus (turbot). RNAcentral describes it as "lncRNA (ENSSMAG00000021563.1)". Lineage: Eukaryota; Metazoa; Chordata; Actinopteri; Pleuronectiformes; Scophthalmidae. The record is from RNAcentral.
AAAAAAAAAUAACAGAAAUAUAUUCAUAGUGAAAAUAAUGUUUAAUUAAUAAUUAAUAAUAAUAAUAAUAUUUUUGCAGUUGCAUACUCAGCUCAGGCAAAGUCUUUAUUCUAGGGAAUUCAUUUUAAACUGCUGUUUUGUUUCAGUUCCACCUGACAACAACAACAACAACUUUUCUUUAUCUCUGUGUCUUUAUCUCUCCAUGCACCAUCGUUAAAGGCGUGACUGACCUUUUCUCUGGCAGCCUGUCUAACCACCCUGGGGUAUAUGAUGGCUGGAGGAUCGGCUUUAAUUGACGUGAUAGCACCCCUGAGGUCAGGCAAGAGUCGAGUUCUGUUGACCGUCUGUUUCAAGAAAUGCUGCAGCCUGACUACGGUCCAGUAUGACUGCAGUGUGUCCUUGGCUAUGCUGGGAACCUCUGAGAUGGUAUUGCAUGCAGUAGAUCUUGGAAAAUGCCCUCAUCAUUAAAAUUUAGAUUGAUAAAAAUAUAUACCUGAUUUUUUUUUUAACAAUGUACAAAUGCUUUGUUGGUUUGCAUGUUUUGGAUAGAUCCAGGUCAUGUCACAGCUGUGAUGAAACCUCAGAUACAAUUCUUCACCAUGGAUUGCAGGAUGAUCACUUCUAUUCUAG